AGCUGAUUGCACCGAUUGCACAUAUACAAUUGCAAUCUUGUGUAUAUUUACGAAAAAAAUUACAUUGGUUGUUUUAACGACUUUUUGCUUGUAAGUAUUAGUGCUCCAAGUAGGCCUGGAUAAAAUCUGUUUUUUUCAACGGCCAUUAUGUUUCCACCUUUGUUAGCUGCAGCUUCGUGAAAUGCAGAAGAAUAUAAAACUUUCGCCAGUAAGAUCUGGUGCAAUCGGCAUCCAUGAGCGACUAAAGGAAAAGGCAACUGGCAAUUUUCUUAGAGUUUUGAGCAUCGGAUCAUCAACUAUGAUUUUGAUUACCAGAUUCCAGAUCAUCUAAUCACAGUCAAGGCUGCUCGAAUUGCGAAUUGCGAGGAUGAGAAUUGCAUUCCGAUGUUUUACAAGUUCGAAUGUCGAGGACGCUGUCCUUGCAAUUGCUGCCAUUAAGUAAUAAGAAUUGUGCAAAGUGUGAAAUGUAUUAAUAUGAAUAAAAAGUUUAUUUUAAUAAAAAUUAAUUUAAUCUAAA
This is a long non-coding RNA of Uranotaenia lowii, 517 nucleotides long. RefSeq lists it as uncharacterized. Lineage: Eukaryota; Metazoa; Arthropoda; Insecta; Diptera; Culicidae. The record is from RefSeq and is a predicted model, not a curated record. The transcript is spliced from 3 exons.